AUCUGUAGGCCAACCUAGAAGGUUGGGCCAUCCUGGAAAUAGCAUAAUACCCAAUUUUGAUGGUAACACAUUGGACCUUGUAAAAGAUAGAUAAAAUGAAUUUCUGGGCUACCUUCCCAGUUUUCUCCUUCCAGCUCAGAAAGCAAUCACUUACUAAUAUCAUAUGAAGAGAGAGAGAGGGAGAGAGAGAGAAAAACCUUUCUGCAAUUUACAAAAUUACAGAUGGAAUGACAGGGACAGGAUUUAUUCCCCACUGGAAGCAACUGGAAAACUGGAAAAAAAUAUACAAAACAGCAGUUCUCAAGACAUUGUGUGCCGGCAACAAAGGACAGUGAUGCUGGAGAGAUGAGAAAUAAGCAAGGUAAGCCCUAUAGUGUCCCAGCUUACUGCCUGGAGAGAGUAUUCAGGCUGCAGGCCUAUAUUCUCAGAGUAAGGAGAUUCUCAGGGUAAGAUUCUCAGAGUAAGCAGACAAUGUUGAUUGACCGGGAAGGCCAAGGUGGCUAGAGGCCACAGAGUAGAAUGCCAGAAAAGAGAGAACUACAUAGAUUGAAAACUACGCAGACCUGUAGGGAGUCUUUAAGUAUUCAACUGAGUACUGAUCAACACAUGCAUGUUAGGAAACCACCCAAGGCUGGGGGCAAGAAUCUAAAGGAUUAGAGGCGAAAUCCUUGGAGCUCACAUGGAGCCGCAACUGGAACUUCUUCCCACCAGCCAGAAUGGAAAGCCUCAUAAUUCAGUGGGCAUUUGAGUAGAGUACUCAGAAGAAUUUUGCCUCAUUAGUACAGCUAAAGUCAGGCCUGGACUAUCACUGCUCUGUUUCUGCCUAACAAAGCUUAAAAAAACAAGACUCAAAAUGAUCAUAUGCUUUCCAAUGAACUAUCUCCCAUAACAAAGCUCAAGAAUAUUUAUAGAAAUAAAAUACAUAUGCAGCACCCAAGAAGCUAAAUUUUACAAUGUUUGACAUCUAAUAAAAAAAUUUUUUUUUUAAUUUUUUAUUUUGAGACAAAGUCUCACUCUGUCGCCCAGGCUGGUGUGCAGUGGUGAGAUCUCGGCUCACUGCAACCUCUACCUCCUGAGUUCAAGUGAUUCUUGUGCCUCAGCCUCCUGAGUAGCUGGGAUUACAGGCACACGCCACCAUGCUCAGCUAAUUUUUGUAUUUUUAGUAGUGAUGGGGUUUCACUAUGUUGGCUAGGCUGGUCUUGAACACCUGACCUCAAGUGAUCUGCUCACCUUGUCCUCCCAAAGUGCUGGGAUUACAGGCAUGAGCCACUGUGCCCAGCCCAUCUAAUAAAAUAUUAAUAGGCAUGGAAAGACACAGGAAAACAGGGCCCACAAGCUGGUAAAGAAUAAUUAGUUGAAAUUAGCCCAGAAAUUACAUGGAUAAUCAGUUAUUGAAGACAUUAAGCUUAUUGAUAAGGUUGUUAGUUCUGUUAUUAAAACAGAACAUAGAUAUUCCAUAUAUUUAUGGAGCUAGAGAAAAGAUUGAACUGUUAGUUAUAGAUAUGAAGAUACAAAAAUCGAAUUUCUUAAGGUUAAAAUUAUAAUGUGUGAGAUAAAAAGACAGACUGGAUCAAUGACAGAUUAGGUAUUGCAGAAAAAAUGAUGAGUGAACUUGAAGACAUGGUAAUAGAAAUUAUCCCAAAUGAAACUAUCCAAGAAGGAAAAAAUCCUGAACGAAUCAAUAAAGCAUCAGUGGGUUGUGAGGCAACUUCAAGCAAACUAAUACAGGAGAAUUUGGAACCCCCACAGGAGAAGAGAGAGAGGGACAGAAAAACAUUUGAAAGAAAUAAUUACUAAAAACAUUUCCAAAUGUGAUGAAAAUUAUAAACCUCAGGUCUAAGAAUCUUAAAGAACUCCAAGCAUAGGAAACAUGAAGAAAAGUAUGCAAAGACACGUUAUAAUGAAAUUGCUUAAAACCAGUUAAAAAAAGAAAAAUUUAAAAGCCCGAAGCGAAAGACACAUUAGAUACAAAGGAAAAAAGACAAGGAGGAGAGCAGAGUUCUUGAUGAAAACAAUGCAAACUAGACAACAGUGGAGCAACAUCAGUAAAUACUGAAAAAACAAAAACAAAACUUUCAGCCUGUAAUUUUUUAUCCAGGGAAAACAUCUUGCAAAAAUGAAGGUACAUAUUAGUUAAAGGAAUUAAUCACCAGCAGACCCUGCCCUACAAAAAAUGUUGAAAGAAGUCUUUCAAGCAUAAGGCAAAUGAUGCUAGAUGGAAAUUUGGUCCUAUACAAAAUAAUGAAGAGAAUUAAGAAAUGGCAUGUAGAAAAAUAUAGAGAAUUUUCUUAUUAAAUAUCUUUAAAAUAUAAUCAAUGGCUUGAGGCAGAAUUAAAAACCAAAUAUUGUGGGGUUUUAAUGUGUAAGUUUAACAUGUAGAAGUAAAAUGCAUGAAAGCAGCAGCAAAACAAAUAAACAAAAAAUACCCAGAAGGGGAAAAUUAGAAAUAAUUGUAGACCUGACAUGGCUAAGAAAAGAAUCAGUAAACUUGAAGCAGAUCAAUAAAAAGUUUCCAAAAUGAAUUGCAAAGAGAAAAAAAUAAACACACACACACAUGCACACACACACGUCCCCCAACACAUUAAAAAAUUGUGGAGAAUAUGAAAAUGGAAUAAUACAAACUAUUCAAUCCAUCCAAAAGAAGGCAGUAAAAGGAAAAAGGCAAUAAAGAACAAAUGGAAAAAAUGGGAAAUAAAUAUCAAACGCAUAUCUAAUAAAAGACUCAGAUCCAGAAUAUACAGAGAAUUCUCAAAACUCAAACAACUCUUUCCUCUUCAAAAAAAGAAAUGGGGGAAAUCUGAACAGAAGCUUCAUCAAAGAAGAUAAAUGAAUAGCAAGUAGGUAGAUGAAAAAAUGUUAAAUAGCACUAAUCAUUGAGGAAAGGAAAACUAAAGCCACAAAAGAAUGUCACUAUGCACGUAUUAGAAUGGCUAAAAUUAAAAAUCAAAUGUUGGGGGAGAAUGUGGAGCAACUGGAAUUCUCACACAUUGAAUGGUGGGAAUGGAAAAUGGUCCUGCCACUUUGGAAAACAGCUUGGCAGUUUUAAAAAAGAUACAUAUAGCUGCUGUAUGACUCAGGUAUUGCGUGCUCAUGUAACUAUCCAAGAUAAAUAAAAAGAUUUGCACAUGAAUGUUUAUAGCAACUUUGUUUGUAACGGCCCCAAACUAAAAACAACCUAAAUGCCCAUCAACAGGUGAAUAGAUUAACAGUGUUACAAUCAAUGACAUAAAGAGGAAUGGAUUAUUGAUAUACUCAAGAACAUGGAUAAAUCUCAAAACAAUUAUGCUGAUUAUUAUUUAUAUAAAUGUCUAAUUCCAUUUAUAUAAAAUUCUUAAAAUUACACACUGAUCUAUAGUGAUACACAGCAGGUCCAUGUCUACCUUCCAGGUAUAUCUGACUUCAUCUUCUGUGCUUCUCUCCUUUGCUUCCUGGGCUCCAGACAAGCAAAUCUUGCUGUUCUUUGAACACAUCAAGAAUGUGCCUGUCUCAAGGUUUACAUAUUUGCUGAUCCCUUGACAUGGGUAAUGCUUCCCCAGAGAGUUUGCUCCUUACUUCAUUCUAGCCUCUCAUCCAAUAUCACUUUGUCUAACAUAACUCCCAAUGAUCUCUGCCUGCUUGUAUUUACUAGGUGAGUGUGGGCUGGACCUAGUGACUCACUUGUAGCAAAUAGAAUGCAAUGAAGUGAUAGGAUGCCACCUCCACAAUGAGGUUACAAAAAGAGUCUGGCUUACAUCUUUCAUGCUCUGUACCAGUCUUUCUCAUUCUAUCUUUCUUAGAACUCUUGUCAAUUGCCUUACGGACAGACCUAUAAGGCAAGAAACUGAUAUCUGUGAUCGAGAGCCAGUGAGCACCUGGGGCUUGUCACUGGCCAUGUGAGUGAGCUUGGAAGCAGAUACUCUCCCAGUUAAGCUUGGAAAUGAUUGCAGCCCCAACCCUGAUGGCUGACUUGUGAGAGACCUCCUUGAUUCACAGGCACCCAGUUCAUCUGCACCUGGAUUGCUGACCCAUGGAAAUGGCGAAGUAAUAAAUGUUUGUUAUUUUAAGCUGCUAAACCUCUGGAUAAUUUUUUAUGCAGCCAUAGACAACUAAUCCAGAGGUGUUCCUUAGAAAACUAUGUAAAAUAUCCCCACUGACACAUACAAUUCCCAGUACUCAUUGUCCUCUUACCUUGUUUUUUCUCAUUCAAGACAUUUUUCAUCAUUCAAAGUAUUAUUAUAUGUUAUAUAUGUGCUAACUUGCUGUCUGUCUCUCAUUCCCCCAAUAAAAUAAGAUGAGAACAGCAUCUUAUAUCUAGGGCCCGAAACACUGCCUGGCCAAGCUACGUAUAUAUCCAUUACAUAUUUGACACCUUUAUAUAAAAUUUGAAAAAAAAGUCUAGACUAUAAGGCAGGCUCCUUUUAGCUAGAUAUAUUCUACAUAUAUUCAGACCUCAACUCAAGGACAGAGGCCAUCACAGAAAACCAGAAGAAUGAGAAAUUCCUUAAGCUACUGUGUCCCUUUUUCCCUAGGAUCAGGCAAACACACUACUAAUUCAUCAUACACUUAAAAAUAUUUGGAAAGGAGGAAUAAGCAGAGAAGACAACUACCUCUCUGGUCAAGAGGAGCUGUGAGGGCCUGAUCCAGCCACAGGGUGAAAAUCACUAUGGGAACUCAUUAGUGAGGGUUUAACUGAGCCAUCAGAGAGGCAAGGCUGGAGCGAGGCAUCCAAAGGGGCCAGGCAAGGGUGGAAUGGAGGCUAGUCCAGAAUUGGGACAGGGACAGAGGCGGAAUCUGGUUCUUGGUUGAGCCACAGCUUCAGGAACCAGCAGCAGGCUGAGAGAGAGAGAGAUGGACCCCAAGGAAGUUCUUUUUCUGCCCAAGCCAGAGUACAGGUCGAGGCAUCAAGGCUGGAGUGGAAGGCUGGGAAUCAGGCAUUUUCUCAUAGAUUGUAGGACGAGUAAGAGCAGAAGGUACAAGUGAGAUGACACGAGACAUCUCCACGGAGCUGUGACUACAGAUAGGUCUGCAUACAUAGACAGUGUUCAUUCAAAGUACAUUGUAGUAGCCGGGCAUGGUGACACACGCCUGUAAUUCCAGCUACUCGGAGGCUGAGGCAGGAGAAUCACUUGAACUCGGGAGGCAGAAGUUGCAGUGAGCCGAGAUUGCACCACUGCACCCCAGCCUGGGCGACAGAGUGAGUGAGACUGUCUCAAAAAACCAAACCAAACCAAAGCAAAUGGUUCAAUGGUUUUAUGUGGGAUCAAUGGUUUUAUGAGCAAGGUGGAAACCUAACAACCAUUCAUGAUAUCAUUUUUAUGUUAAGAUGAUUUGAGUAUUCCAAGCAACUAAUGCAAAAGCAGAAAUUUUGAAGAAUCCUAAAUUUGAGUUUACUUGAAUUAACAAUUUCUGUCAAUCGUGGAAGCUGCUGCUAUGGCCCACUAGGUGGCAGUAUGGGAGUGAUUUGCUGGUUAACAGAAAAUGGAAUAGGCUUGACUCUCAAGCCACUAGUUUGUUUUUUUCCUAGCAUUUAAAAGUUGACAAUAGAAAAUGUUCAUGGAAUAAUAGAUGGAAAGUCAGACAAGGACUAUCAUGCAAAGGCCAUUGACAUAUAAAAUAAAACCGUUUUACAAGCAGUUACCAUGGAGCAUUUUAUAAAAAGUCAAAACAGCAAAUAAUGUCUGCUGUUCAUAAUAAAUAUAAUGUUUUUAAGUGAUUCUUCUGAUAGGUGAAUGUUAGACAGAUAUAAAAUAGAGACAAGUGAGAGAACAGGACAACGGAUACCUCUUUCCCAGACCUUGCAAAAACCAGGCUCCCUGAAGCCUCUAUGUUGGGGUUUUCAGUUCCCAGAUCCCUACUUCCUCUUUACCCAUCCACACUCCUGGCUUCCCUGUGAGAUGCUCUUGGCAGCAAAUCCCUGACAAGUCACAUCAUUCAAGUAUCUUAAUUCACUCUUUCACUUGUAUUUCCCUGAAAUUAUGGACAAAGACACACUAAUAUUUUGCAAGGUAAAAUUUCCAAUUUUUUUUUUUUUUGUAUGAUGAGUGCUUAGACUAUUGCUGUACAUGUUAAGCACCAU
Homo sapiens (human) is the source of this 6055-nucleotide long non-coding RNA. RefSeq lists it as uncharacterized. The record is from RefSeq and is a predicted model, not a curated record. The transcript has 3 exons. Lineage: Eukaryota; Metazoa; Chordata; Mammalia; Primates; Hominidae.